Molecule: ribosomal RNA, 187 nt
Filed under: Salmonella enterica
Lineage: Bacteria; Pseudomonadati; Pseudomonadota; Gammaproteobacteria; Enterobacterales; Enterobacteriaceae
Also listed under: 2 other names
Description: partial 16S ribosomal RNA
Rfam family: Bacterial small subunit ribosomal RNA
Source: RNAcentral
AAAUUGAAGAGUUUGAUCAUGGCUCAGAUUGAACGCUGGCGGCAGGCCUAACACAUGCAAGUCGAACGGUAACAGAAAGCAGCUUGCUGCUUUGCUGACGAGUGGCGGACGGGUGAGUAAUGUCUGGGAAACUGCCUGAUGGAGGGGGAUAACUACUGGAAACGGUGGCUAAUACCGCAUAACGUCG